Long non-coding RNA from Athene cunicularia (burrowing owl), 160 nucleotides. RefSeq lists it as uncharacterized. The transcript has 3 exons. Lineage: Eukaryota; Metazoa; Chordata; Aves; Strigiformes; Strigidae. The record is from RefSeq and is a predicted model, not a curated record.
GAAAAGUUUCGGGAGCGGUUAUCUGAAAGGGCUGUACGGUUUCGAGCUAUUGAGCAGCGAUUGCUGACACGAUUCAAAGACAAAACUCCCGCUCCUCUUCAACUUCUGGACACCUUGCUAGAAGGAACAUUCAGAGAGGUCAUAGCUCUAGCAGAUGAGC